This 253-nucleotide ribosomal RNA is filed under the name uncultured bacterium. RNAcentral describes it as "partial 16S ribosomal RNA". It matches the Rfam family "Bacterial small subunit ribosomal RNA", at positions 524 to 776 of the family's 1533-position model. The record is from RNAcentral.
UACAGAGGGUGCAAGCGUUGUUCGGAAUUAUUGGGCGUAAAGCGCGUGUAGGUGGCUUUGUAAGUCGGGUGUGAAAGCCCAGGGCUCAACCCUGGAAGUGCACACGAUACUGCGAAGCUUGAGUACUGAAGAGGAGAGCGGAAUUCCCGGUGUAGAGGUGAAAUUCGUAGAUAUCGAGAGGAACACCAGUGGCGAAGGCGGCGAUCUGGACGAUGACUGACGCUGAGACGCGAAAGCGUGGGGAGCAAACAGG